UGGGAAUUUGGGUGGAAUACCACUCGGUGUUUGAGCAUCUUAUUUGAAAGGAAAUAAAUUAUGGUUUUAAUACCAUCUUCUUGGUUUGCUCUUAUAUGAUGGUGGUUGUUUAGGAUCAUAUGAAUGCCCACUUCCUAGAAUAGAGCAGUUUCUUGAUUGAUUGAAAAUGCAACUCUUGCAGAUGUGAUUUUGCACUAUUUACUAUUUAGUGACCAUUGGAUAGAUAGAUAUUGCACUUUCUGAGAUGAAUGCUCCAUGGAAAUGGAAGGAAGAUGCAUUUAGUUCCCAUUGAGCUAGCAGUCAUGCAUGAGAAUUUCACUUGUUGUCUCGUUGAUGGAAUAUAGGCGGUGUAAGGUUUUUGAUAGCAGCCUCUUUAAUUUCAA
This 383-nucleotide unclassified non-coding RNA is filed under the name Hevea brasiliensis (rubber tree). The record is from RNAcentral. Lineage: Eukaryota; Viridiplantae; Streptophyta; Magnoliopsida; Malpighiales; Euphorbiaceae.